This 433-nucleotide unclassified non-coding RNA is filed under the name soil metagenome. RNAcentral's name for it is "partial contains 5.8S ribosomal RNA, internal transcribed spacer 2, and large subunit ribosomal RNA". The stretch from base 1 to 120 matches the Rfam family "5.8S ribosomal RNA", at positions 35 to 154 of the family's 154-position model. The record is from RNAcentral.
GAUGAAGAACGUGGCGAAAUGCGAUACGUAAUGUGAAUUGCAGAAUUCAGUGAAUCAUCGAAUCUUUGAACGCAUAUUGCGCUCUCUGGUAUUCCGGAGAGCAUGCUUGUUUGAGUAUCAGUAAACACCUCAACUUCCAUAUCUUUUUUGAAAUGGGAGUUGGACUUGAGUGAUCCCAACGCUUUUCCUCACCGAAAAGUGGCGGGUUACUUGAAAUGCAGGUGCAGCUGGACUUUUCUCUGAGCUAUAAGCAUAUCUAUUUAGUCUGCCUAAAAAACAGAUUAUUACCUUUGCUGCAGCUAACAUAAAGGAGAUUAGUUCUUGUGCUGACUGAUGCAGGAUUCACAAAGACAGGCUUCGGCCGACUUUGUAAACUCGAUCUCAAAUCAAGUAAGACUACCCGCUGAACUUAAGCAUAUCAAUAAGCGGAGGA